GUCCCCAUCGUCUAGCCUGGUCCAGGACACCGGCCUUUCACGCCGGCAACCGGGGUUCAAAUCCCCGUGGGGACGCCA
This 78-nucleotide transfer RNA is filed under the name Thermus sp. RNAcentral's name for it is "tRNA-Glu". It matches the Rfam family "tRNA". Rfam says of the family: Transfer RNA (tRNA) molecules are approximately 80 nucleotides in length. Their secondary structure includes four short double-helical elements and three loops (D, anti-codon, and T loops). RNAcentral also lists the same sequence under 11 other names. Lineage: Bacteria; Thermotogati; Deinococcota; Deinococci; Thermales; Thermaceae. The record is from RNAcentral.